GGGGGAUGAGGGGACGCAGAGAAAACCACUGUGGCUGCAGGAGAGUGAGCAUGACAAAUUCCCAGAUGAGGUCAGAGAGGCCUGGGUGGAGAAGGGGGCAUCCAGACAGCUCAUGGAGCCUCUGUAGGCUCCUGUAAGGGCCUUGGUUUUUAUCCUAAGAGGGGAAGCCACUGGAGGUUUGGAGCAGGGGAGUGGUGAAAUGGGAUUUUAAGAGUUGUAACAGAAACACCAGCUGCUGUGAUGAGAACGGAAUUUAGGGGAACAAGAGUAGGAGCUGGAAGACCAGGGAAUCCAGGCAGGGAUAGUGAGGGAGGUGUUGAGAAGGGAUGGCAUUCCACAUGUAUUCUGAAGGUGGCCCCGAUGGGAUUUACUGAUGGAGUGGAUGUGGGGUGUGAGGGAAAGAGAGUCAAAGAUGACUCCUGGCUGGGCGCAGUGGCUCACAUCUGUAAUCCCAGCACUUUGGGAGGCCAGGGCAGGUGGAUCACGAGGUCAGGAGUUCAAGACCAGCCUGGCCAACUUGGUGAAACCCCAUCUCUAUUAAAAAUAAAAAAUUAGCCAGGCAUGGUGGCAUGUGCCUGUAGUCCCAGCCUCUCGGGAGGCUGAGGCAGGAGAAUCACUUGAACCCAGGAGGCAGAGGUUGCAGUGAGCCAAGAUUGCGCCACUGCACCCCAGCCUGGGCAACAGAGCAAGACUCUAUCUAAAAGAAAAAAAAAUGAUUCCUAAAAGUUUUUGGCCUGAGCAUCCUGAAGGAUGGAGAUGUCAUUAACUGAGAUGGGGAAGAUGAAGUAGGAGCAGGUUGGGGUCGAAGAGCAGGAGGUACUUUUGGGCUUGUGGCUUUGAGAGGUCUAUCGAGCUCCCAUGUGAGAUGUCAAGGAGGCUGGUAGUUAAAUGCCUGAACGUUCAAGGGAGCUAUCCAGGCCAGAGAGGUCAAUCUGAGAUUUGGGAUGGAGUUCAGAAACCCAGAGACUGAAAGUCACUUAGGAAGUGAAGGUGCUAGGACAGGAAGGGCCCCCAGAUGUGCCCUGGGAAACAAGGAAGCACCAAGAAGACCAUAAGGAGUGGCAGUGGAGAGAGGAGAAAAGCCAGGUGGGUAUCCUGGAAAGCAAAUGCGGAGGGUGCUUCAAGCAAGACAGAGUGGUCCAUUAAGUCACGCUGCUGAAAGGCCAAGAAAGAAGAGGACUUAGUCCUGGAGAACUUGUGAGCAUGGAGGGGAAGGCCCGUGGGAGAGGGUUUACAAGGCUGGAGACGGCUCUCCCUAGCUGCAGUGUCUCAUGCUCAGUUGUUACUCCUUACAGCUGGGGGAGCAUGCUCAGAGAAGUUAGGGAACUGCUGGUGAGUUGGCAGAGCUAGGCCCAGAGCCCUGGAGGCUCUAGAGUGUUCACAUGGUGGCCCCUGUUCCUCCGUCCAUUCUACAUCUCAUCCAUCAGACACCAGCUAGGUGUCCGUGUGUGCCAGCUGCUCUGCUGGGCCCUGGAGAGAUGGAGCUGACAUGUCUCUCAUCAAGGAGUUCACUACUAGAGGAACAUCCAGGGCCUUGGAGCCCAGCCCAUUCCACUGCAGGGCAAAUGGAAUGGCUGCAUGCCAGGGGCCUUGGAGCUGGAUCUGAAAGCAUGGAUGGGAUUUGGUCAGGCAGGGCAAGUAGGAUGGGGGAACGGAGGAGGAGGUGGCUGGACAUGCUGUUCAGUCACCACCAGGCCAUCUAGGGAAGUGCCUGGAUUUGAGGAGAGGCAGCAGGUACCAGAGCACUUAGAGCCAGGAAGCAGGGGCGCAGCAGCGGUAGAGGCGCCCCGCUGCAGGGAUCCCUUCAAGGAAGAACCUGCUGCACAUGCAGCGAGGUGACAGCCUCCAGCUGUGGGCACCUUCAGGCCCUGCUUCAGCUUUCAAGCCAGGGACUGAGUGUGGAGGUGGCUCAGGGCUCACCAGCUCCAGGCAGUACAUGUGCCGGAGUUUUCCCAGGAGCCGGCCAGGACUUCCUCGAGGCUGUGCUGGAGGUGGACGCUCU
Molecule: long non-coding RNA, 2002 nt
Filed under: Homo sapiens (human)
Lineage: Eukaryota; Metazoa; Chordata; Mammalia; Primates; Hominidae
Description: HSALNT0242362
Source: RNAcentral